Molecule: ribosomal RNA, 253 nt
Filed under: uncultured bacterium
Lineage: Bacteria
Description: partial 16S ribosomal RNA
Rfam family: Bacterial small subunit ribosomal RNA
Source: RNAcentral
GACGAGCCACACGAACGUUAUUCGGAAUUACUGGGCUUAAAGGGUGCGUAGGCUGCGCGGAAAGUUGGGUGUGAAAUCCCUCGGCUCGACCGAGGAACUGCGCCCAAAACUGCCGUGCUCGAGGAAGAUAGAGGUAAGCGGAACUUACGGUGGAGCGGUGAAAUGCGCAGAUAUCGGGAGGAACACCAAUGGCGAAGGCAGCUCGCUGGGACGUGACUGACGCUGAGACGCGAAAGCGUGGGGAGCAAACAGG